UGGGGAAUUUUGGACAAUGGGCGAAAGCCUGAUCCAGCAAUGCCGCGUGUGUGAAGAAGGCCUUCGGGUUGUAAGGCACUUUUGUCCGGAAAGAAAUCCUUGGCUCUAAUACAGUCGGGGGAUGACGGUACCGGAAGAAUAAGCACCGGCUAACUACGUGCCAGCAGCCGCGGUAAUACGUAGGGUGCAAGCGUUAAUCGGAAUUACUGGGCGUAAAGCGUGCGCAGGCGGUUUGCUAAGACCGAUGUGAAAUCCCCGGGCUCAACCUGGGAACUGCAUUGGUGACUGGCAGGCUAGAGUAUGGCAGAGGGGGGUAGAAUUCCACGUGUAGCAGUGAAAUGCGUAGAGAUGUGGAAGAAUACCGAUGGCGAAGGCAGCCCCCUGGGCCAAUACUGACGCUCAUGCACGAAAGCGUGGGGAGCAAACAGGAUUAGAUACCCUGGUAGUCCACGCCCUAAACGAUGUCAACUAGUUGUUGGGGAUUCAUUUCCUUAGUAACGUAGCUAACGCGUGAAGUUGACCGCCUGGGGAGUACGGUCGCAAGAUUAAAACUUAAAUGAAUUGACGGGGUCAUAGCUGUUUCCU
Molecule: ribosomal RNA, 585 nt
Filed under: uncultured bacterium
Lineage: Bacteria
Description: partial 16S ribosomal RNA
Rfam family: Bacterial small subunit ribosomal RNA
Source: RNAcentral